CUCCCUGCUUCUUUGUUCUCCCCUUCCCGCUGCAACUCAGGUGACCACAGCAAUAGGCAUGUGCAAGGUACGAAACACUGCAGACCCGGCACGAACUUUCAGCCAACCCCUCCUUGGACGUCUGCCACCCACAAGACCAGCCUAUCACCCAUGGACACGUUCCCUUCCCUCUCUAUAUAUCCUCGUGUUUUACCCCCAGUAAAUGAGGCUUGAUCAGAAUCCUGUCUUGCCUCCAUUCUUCGUGUCUCUUGUCCCCGUCUCUGUGUCAUUUGCUUUGUUUCUAGAUCCCUGAGCUUGGUCGUAUGGGAGACGUCCUCUUAUAUUGGCCUGGCCCGCGGGCGGGUCCGGGUCAAAUGCCAUGCAACCAUCACCACCACCGGGUACCAGGCUUUUCAUCACCCCAACCAGGAACUGCACCCACUGAGCAGUAACGCCCCUUCCUGCCUGGCCCCGGAGCGCCUCCCGUCUGCUCUGUGCCUCGGGAAGGUGCCCGUUCCGGCCAUGCCCUACCAGGGGAGACGCACACUCUGCCCUCUCGUGUCUGGCUUCUUCCACUUCACGCGAGGCUUCUGGGGGCGUCUGCGCAGUCCGGGUCAGAACCCCAUUCCUUCCUAGGCCGAGUGACCGUCCCCCGCUGGGUGGACCCCAUUGGUUGACCCAUGCACCUGUCGAGGCUCACCUGGCUGCCUCCACCUUUUGGCUGCUGUGAACGGGGCCGCGAUGAUCGGUGGUGUUCCAGUGUCUUCAGGAGUGCAAAGCCAGGCGGGCCUUUGCACCUGGCAGGCAGGUGUUUUAGACGGUGGACGGUCCCAACGUGCAGGAGGCCAUCGAGGGGUCUGCCCUAGGAGGGCGGCAGCGCUGACCUGCGUCGGGACUCCACGGACGCCCAGGGGCAGGCCCAGGGGCACUGCCACCGGGCACAGGUGUGUAACCGGACUCUUGGAAGGUUCUGGCACGACAGAGCGCCUCCUCCCACCUCAGCCCGGCGUGCGCCCCCGGCCUGCUGCGCUAGCAGCCACGCUGGCACAGCACUGGCAGGAGCAGAAGCUGCGUGCCUCGCCCACACUGUCCGAACCCGGCGCCGCAGCCAAACGACCGUUUGCCCACAGCCACGUCCAGUUCUGAACCGCGACAUGCCGUCUUGCGUCCCAGGCGGACAGCCUUCCACCGGGACCCCUCCUCUGUGCAGGGAGAGUGACAUUUCCCACCGCAUUUGACGCUUUUUUUUUUUAUAAUGACAAUUUUAUUUUAUUUUAUUAUUCAUUUUUUAAAAAUAUUACAUUCAAAAAAUAUGAGGUCCCAUUCAACCCCAACGCCCCCACCCCACCACUCCCUCCACAGCAACACUCUCUCCCAUCAUCAUGUCACAUCCAUUGCAUUUGGUAAGUACAUCUCUGGGUAUCGCUGCACCUCAUGGUCAAUAGUCCACAUCAUAGCCCAUACUCUCCCACGUUCCAUCCAGUGGGCCCUGGGAGGAUCUACAAUAUCCGGUAAUUGUCCCUGAAGCACCACCCAGGACAACUCCAAGUCCCGAAAACGCCUCCACAUCUCAUCUCUUCCUCCCAUUCCCCGCACCCAGCAGCCACCAUGGCCACUUUUCCCACACCAAUGCCACAUUUUCUCUGUGGACCUUGGAUUGGUUGUGUCCAUUGCACUUCUAUGUCAAGAGGGGCUUAAAUUCCACAUGGAUACUGGAUGCAAUCCUCCUGCUUUCAGUUGUAGGCACUCUAGGCUCCAUGGUGUGGUGGUUGACCUUCUUCAACUCCAUGUUAGCUGAGUGGGGUAAGUCCAAUAAAUCAGAGUGUAGGAGUUGAAGCCUGUUGAGGCUCAGGGCCUGGCUAUCAUAUUGUUAGUCCAGAGAUUCAAAUCCCCUAGAUAUAUCUUAAACCCCAGCACCAACUACAAUUCCCAUAAAGUGAAAA
RNAcentral lists this long non-coding RNA (1922 nucleotides) under Dasypus novemcinctus (nine-banded armadillo). RNAcentral describes it as "lncRNA (ENSDNOG00000051714.1)". The record is from RNAcentral. Lineage: Eukaryota; Metazoa; Chordata; Mammalia; Cingulata; Dasypodidae.